This 75-nucleotide transfer RNA is filed under the name Patescibacteria group bacterium. RNAcentral describes it as "tRNA-Ile". The record is from RNAcentral.
GCUCCCAUCUUCUAAUGGCAGGAAAAGCGGCCGAUAACCGCUCAAUGGCUGGUUCGAUUCCACCUGGGAGUACCA